GAUGAACGCUAGCGGGAGGCCUAACACAUGCAAGCCGAGCGGUAGAGAUUCUUCGGAAUCUUGAGAGCGGCGUACGGGUGCGGAACACGUGUGCAACCUGCCUUUAUCAAGGGGAUAGCCUUUCGAAAGGAAGAUUAAUACCCUAUAAUAUAUGAUUCGGCAUCGGAUUAUAUUGAAAACUACGGUGGAUAAAGAUGGGCACG
This 203-nucleotide ribosomal RNA is filed under the name uncultured bacterium. Its description in RNAcentral is "partial 16S ribosomal RNA". It matches the Rfam family "Bacterial small subunit ribosomal RNA", at positions 28 to 233 of the family's 1533-position model. The record is from RNAcentral.